UGGCUGAACUCAUCUGAAUAGCAG
RNAcentral lists this non-coding RNA (24 nucleotides) under Cricetulus griseus (Chinese hamster). Lineage: Eukaryota; Metazoa; Chordata; Mammalia; Rodentia; Cricetidae. The record is from RNAcentral.